AGCUUUGCGCAGUGGCAGUAUCAUAGCCAAUGAGGUUUAUCCGAGGCGCGAUUAUUGCUAAUUGAAAACUUUUCCCAAGAUAUAUCCCUUAAUUGGUCAAAAUCUUUAGCAAUUAAGGACAUAAAAGUUAAACUACU
This is a small nuclear RNA of Rattus rattus (black rat), 137 nucleotides long. RefSeq annotates it as U4 spliceosomal RNA. The record is from RefSeq and is a predicted model, not a curated record. NCBI's taxonomy places the organism in Eukaryota, Metazoa, Chordata, Mammalia, Rodentia, Muridae. The transcript has a single exon.